RNAcentral lists this transfer RNA (72 nucleotides) under Phanuelus gladstone. Its description in RNAcentral is "tRNA-Arg". Lineage: Eukaryota; Metazoa; Arthropoda; Arachnida; Araneae; Salticidae. The record is from RNAcentral.
AAUAUGUGCUUUAAAAUAGCGGCUUAAUUUCGACUUAAGUAUUGGAAAAUAUGGUGAAUUAUCACGUUAUUA